GGUACGGGGAGGUGCCAGGAGGGAGAGCUUCCGAACCCGGAAGUUCGUCUCCGUCCUGCCGUUUUCAGCUGCGGGAGAGGUUUCCGAACCGGGAUCUCGGUCCUGGGCGAUGCUGGAAAGCAUUUCUCCCCAAACUGCCAACCCCCUGGAAAUCUCUCUACCUGACCCACUCUCCCAGUUCCACUCGGAGAACUACUCUCUUCUUGGCAGUGAUGGACUUGUGGAAAAUGUCCCUUGACUUCCUCGCCCCAGCAAGGGAGUUGUGGGGGGUGGGUUCUUGGUUAGGUUCCUUGCCUCUCCUUCCCCACUGGUGCCCCCAUCUUCAGAAACAAAUCCACUCGCUAUGCUUAGGCUAGGAGAACCUUUCUUCCUGGAGUGGACAUGUCUGGUUUCUGGAGGAGACCUAGGAACUAGUCAGUGAUGGAAAUUGUAAGUAACCAAAGAAGUUUGAGCCACUAAAAAAUUAGUCCUUUAGCGCUCCUUGGCUUUGAUCCUGAACUCAUUUUGUGGUCCAGUCAAUCGUGAGUGAAAGACGAUUGUUGAUGACUAAUUUCAACAAGCAAAAUAUGCCCACCAUACCUCUUGGAGAGCUGACCCCCCCCCAGCUGAGGCCUUUAUGGGCGAACUUAAAAGUCCCUGUUACUUCCACGAAGGCUUCUUGGCUCUUAGAAAUAACUGCUGUUUCCCCUCUACCUGACAGGGAUAAGAGAGUCUCAAAGUGUAUUACCUAGAUUAGUUUUAUUACCAAAUGUUAUUUUAUUUCUAUAAAUACCAUUAUGUUUGAGCAUGCUCUGUGGACUUGUUAUGGUUGAUGUCACUUUUGUCCUCUAAAAAGCAAGGAUCACAUUUAGUUUAACAUGCUCCUAAAGAUGCUGUUGAUGAUGCAGACAAUGAUCGAAAAAAAUCAAGCCACUUAAAGUCAAAGCUCUUCCAAAUGAAUGGAAAUACUCUUUUUCCAAGAAAAACUUGACCUUUAUGGGGAAAAAAAUUCAAGCAAUGAAAAAGCAAAAGUCCUCCCUAAUACCACCCCCAGAGACACCCUUUGGUAACAGUGUGAGAUUUAUUGUAAGGAAUUGGCUUAUGAAAUAUGGAGGCCAAGAAGUCCUAAGAUCUGUAGUCCACAGGCCUGAGAACCAGAAAAGCCAAUGGUAGAAGUUCCAGUCCAAGUCUGAAGACAAAAGAUUGACAUCCCACCUUGAAGGCCAUCAGGCAGAGACCAAAUUCUCUCUUGCUCAGCUUUUUUAUUUACUCAGGCCUUUAGCAGUUGAAAUGAGGGCUGCCCACACUGGCGAAGGCAAUCUGCUUUACUCAGACUACUGAUUCAAAUAAUCUCAUCCAGAAAAACCCUUAAAAAAACACCCAGAAUGUUUAACCAAAUAUCUGGGCACUCUAUGGCCCAACCAAGUUAACACAUAACAUUAGCCAUCCACUGAAAUCAUGGGCUCCAAAGUCAAGCUGCCUGAGUCUGAAUUUGACUUCUCACUUCUAGUCCGAGACUUUAGGGAAGGUACUUGGCCAAUCUGUGCCUCAGUGUCCUCAUCUGUUACAGGAGGCGUCUGUAGUGGGAUAUGCUUUUCAUCUGCCCGGCUUCUCUUUAGUGAUCCUAUUUUCCCUGCACUUAGGUCUUCUCAAAGAUGCAUACAUAACUAGGUUUAGUCAGGGAACCUUAUCCUGGCUAUAGCCAGGGCCCUCCCUGGGCUAACUUGCUAGAUUUGCCUUCUGAGAUCAAAUGUCCUUUGGACCUUGUGAGCCUGAAGUUACAGAGGAACUCUCCAUGUGGAUUUAGGCUGCCUGGGGAUGGAGCCAACGCAGAGGAAAGGAGAGAGAUGGAGAGAGAGAGAGAGAGACUAAAUCAUCAAGACAUUGUUUGAGUUCUUGAAUCCAACUAAAUCAGAAGCCUGAACUACCCUGUGGACUUUUCAGUUACAAGAAUCGAUAAAUUCCUUUUUUAU
Long non-coding RNA from Manis pentadactyla (Chinese pangolin), 1952 nucleotides. RefSeq lists it as uncharacterized. NCBI's taxonomy places the organism in Eukaryota, Metazoa, Chordata, Mammalia, Pholidota, Manidae. The record is from RefSeq and is a predicted model, not a curated record. The transcript has 3 exons.